Molecule: non-coding RNA, 127 nt
Filed under: Rhodoferax saidenbachensis
Lineage: Bacteria; Pseudomonadati; Pseudomonadota; Betaproteobacteria; Burkholderiales; Comamonadaceae
Description: ZTP sequence
Rfam family: ZMP/ZTP riboswitch aptamer (pfl RNA motif)
About the family: Previously known as pfl RNA.
Source: Rfam by way of RNAcentral
CGCCCUGCACGCAACUGGCGAUAGGCGCCGGGCCCUCCAAGGCCCAUGGCGCUGACGUGGGACACCACUGGGAAGCGUGCCGCAACCCUCUCGGGCUUGUGAUCAGCCGUUCGCCUGGGCAGCCCUG